Molecule: ribosomal RNA, 205 nt
Filed under: uncultured bacterium
Lineage: Bacteria
Description: partial 16S ribosomal RNA
Rfam family: Bacterial small subunit ribosomal RNA
Source: RNAcentral
UCGAAAGAAUCAGCUAAUACCGCAUGAGACCUGAGGGUGGAAAGCGGGGGAGUCGCAAGACCUCGCGCGACAGGAGCGGCCGAUGUCUGAUUAGCUAGUUGGUGAGAUAAAAGCUUACCAAGGCGACGAUCAGUAGCUGGUCUGAGAGGAUGAUCAGCCACAUUGGGACUGAGACACGGCCCAGACUCCUACGGGAGGCAGCAUG